AAGUCUCAUAUGCUUUUGCUUCAUUUGUUUCUAAGCAUGUUGUUUUCCUAAAUGUUACUACAAAUGGAGUUUUAAAAAUUUCCCAAUUGUUUGCUGUUAAAAUCAGUUGAUUUCAGAACAUUGCUUGUGUAUCCUGUGACAUUGUCAAAUCUGUUCAUUAGCAAAGAACAACUGAUUGCAGAACAUUGAUUGUGUAUCCUGUGACAUUGUCAAAUAUGCUCAUUAGUUGCACAAGUAGCUCAUAGGCUCCUUAGAAUUCUUACAUGAACUGGGGCUGGGGCUCAGUGGUAGAGUGCUCGCCUAGCAUGCAUGAGGCACUGGGUUCGAUCCUCAGCACCAUCAUCACCCUAAGUAUGUAUGAAGACACAAAGGAUGUGACUCUACUUUGUGUACAACCAGAGAUAUGAAAAAUUGUGCUCUAUAUGUGUACUAUGAAUCGUAAUGCAUUCUGUUGUCAUAUAUAAUAAAUUUAAAAAUUUUUAAAAAUAUAUGAUUGGAAUAUUACAGGGGAAAAAAGAGAAUUCUUACAUGAACACAAACUUUACUCCUUACUUCACCUUAUUGUCCUAUUGCACUGACUAGGACCUCCAUUCCAACACUAAAGGGGACAUCUUUCCCCUGUGUCUAACUUGGAGGGACUACAAUGACUCCUUCAUCAUUGAGUGUUCUACUAACCAGGUUUUUGAAGAUGUCCUUAAUCAGGUCAAAGUAGCUCCCUUCUAUUCCUAGUUUGCUUAGAUGUUCAUUUUUUGUUGUUGUUUAUUUAUCAUGGGC
RNAcentral lists this long non-coding RNA (774 nucleotides) under Marmota monax (woodchuck). The stretch from base 271 to 342 matches the Rfam family "tRNA". Lineage: Eukaryota; Metazoa; Chordata; Mammalia; Rodentia; Sciuridae. The record is from RNAcentral.